UCCCGAUGAGGCGGCGCGCCGCCUAUAUA
RNAcentral lists this small RNA (29 nucleotides) under Bombyx mori (domestic silkworm). RNAcentral describes it as "ovarian small RNA-27295". Lineage: Eukaryota; Metazoa; Arthropoda; Insecta; Lepidoptera; Bombycidae. The record is from RNAcentral.